This 994-nucleotide small RNA is filed under the name Fusarium fujikuroi. RNAcentral describes it as "eukaryotic LSU rRNA". The stretch from base 461 to 994 matches the Rfam family "Eukaryotic large subunit ribosomal RNA", at positions 1 to 546 of the family's 3401-position model. The record is from RNAcentral. RNAcentral also lists the same sequence under 1 other name. Lineage: Eukaryota; Fungi; Ascomycota; Sordariomycetes; Hypocreales; Nectriaceae.
ACUCCCAAACCCCUGUGAACAUACCAAUUGUUGCCUCGGCGGAUCAGCCCGCUCCCGGUAAAACGGGACGGCCCGCCAGAGGACCCCUAAACUCUGUUUCUAUAUGUAACUUCUGAGUAAAACCAUAAAUAAAUCAAAACUUUCAACAACGGAUCUCUUGGUUCUGGCAUCGAUGAAGAACGCAGCAAAAUGCGAUAAGUAAUGUGAAUUGCAGAAUUCAGUGAAUCAUCGAAUCUUUGAACGCACAUUGCGCCCGCCAGUAUUCUGGCGGGCAUGCCUGUUCGAGCGUCAUUUCAACCCUCAAGCCCCCGGGUUUGGUGUUGGGGAUCGGCGAGCCCUUGCGGCAAGCCGGCCCCGAAAUCUAGUGGCGGUCUCGCUGCAGCUUCCAUUGCGUAGUAGUAAAACCCUCGCAACUGGUACGCGGCGCGGCCAAGCCGUUAAACCCCCAACUUCUGAAUGUUGACCUCGGAUCAGGUAGGAAUACCCGCUGAACUUAAGCAUAUCAAUAAGCGGAGGAAAAGAAACCAACAGGGAUUGCCCUAGUAACGGCGAGUGAAGCGGCAACAGCUCAAAUUUGAAAUCUGGCUCUCGGGCCCGAGUUGUAAUUUGUAGAGGAUACUUUUGAUGCGGUGCCUUCCGAGUUCCCUGGAACGGGACGCCAUAGAGGGUGAGAGCCCCGUCUGGUUGGAUGCCAAAUCUCUGUAAAGUUCCUUCGACGAGUCGAGUAGUUUGGGAAUGCUGCUCUAAAUGGGAGGUAUAUGUCUUCUAAAGCUAAAUACCGGCCAGAGACCGAUAGCGCACAAGUAGAGUGAUCGAAAGAUGAAAAGCACUUUGAAAAGAGAGUUAAAAAGUACGUGAAAUUGUUGAAAGGGAAGCGUUUAUGACCAGACUUGGGCUUGGUUAAUCAUCUGGGGUUCUCCCCAGUGCACUUUUCCAGUCCAGGCCAGCAUCAGUUUUCCCCGGGGGAUAAAGACUUCGGGAAUGUGGCUCUCUU